AGGAAAAGCAUAUAAAAGACAUGUCGUUUGUUUAAAUCUCACCACCAGCCACAGAAAGAGCCAGACAUCUGUGGGUUUUUAAUCCCACAGUCUCACUUUUUACCUAUGGUCUUAAAGAGAUUUCUGAUAUUACAGCCUUGAGAAAAAGAACACAAAAACAUCACACACAGACAUGUGCAAAUCAGCAAAUACCUGAAAAAGAAAAAUCCACAUAAGUUGUCCUCUUUUUCCAGUUUCCCUGUUUUCAGUUUUUUAUUUUUUAAAAACAUAUCUUAUUUGUCUUCUCUUUCAGAACAAAAGCAAGUUAUAGACAGAUGCAAAGUGGCAAAUGCCCAUUACUCUUUCACCUUAGACGGUCCCUGGCUUGCAUGUAAAAAUCCUGGAACCAAACAGCAGAUAACCACAGGGCUGGGGAAAGAGGCCCCUGCCAUGUAAAAGCAGGGGACAAGAAAAGGCUUGGAGUUUGGAGACGAAUAAGGCAAGGUCCCUGCCUUCAAGGAGCUCAUUAUUUCAGCAGUAUUCAGGGCCUAGAUAAAAUCAGGAGCACAUCAUGAGAAACGCCAGGCUGGAUGAGUUACAAGCUGGAAUCAAGACUGCCAGGAGAAAUAUCAACAACCUCAGAUAUGCAAAUGAUACCACUCUAAAGGCAGAAAGCAAAGAAG
Dama dama (fallow deer) is the source of this 662-nucleotide long non-coding RNA. RefSeq lists it as uncharacterized. The record is from RefSeq and is a predicted model, not a curated record. Lineage: Eukaryota; Metazoa; Chordata; Mammalia; Artiodactyla; Cervidae. The transcript is spliced from 3 exons.